RNAcentral lists this ribosomal RNA (523 nucleotides) under Bifidobacterium breve. Its description in RNAcentral is "bacterial SSU rRNA". It matches the Rfam family "Bacterial small subunit ribosomal RNA", at positions 162 to 695 of the family's 1533-position model. Lineage: Bacteria; Bacillati; Actinomycetota; Actinomycetes; Bifidobacteriales; Bifidobacteriaceae. The record is from RNAcentral.
GGUAAUGCCGGAUGCUCCAUCACACCGCAUGGUGUGUUGGGAAAGCCUUUGCGGCAUGGGAUGGGGUCGCGUCCUAUCAGCUUGAUGGCGGGGUAACGGCCCACCAUGGCUUCGACGGGUAGCCGGCCUGAGAGGGCGACCGGCCACAUUGGGACUGAGAUACGGCCCAGACUCCUACGGGAGGCAGCAGUGGGGAAUAUUGCACAAUGGGCGCAAGCCUGAUGCAGCGACGCCGCGUGAGGGAUGGAGGCCUUCGGGUUGUAAACCUCUUUUGUUAGGGAGCAAGGCACUUUGUGUUGAGUGUACCUUUCGAAUAAGCACCGGCUAACUACGUGCCAGCAGCCGCGGUAAUACGUAGGGUGCAAGCGUUAUCCGGAAUUAUUGGGCGUAAAGGGCUCGUAGGCGGUUCGUCGCGUCCGGUGUGAAAGUCCAUCGCUUAACGGUGGAUCCGCGCCGGGUACGGGCGGGCUUGAGUGCGGUAGGGGAGACUGGAAUUCCCGGUGUAACGGUGGAAUGUGUAGAU